GGCGCUAUAGCCAAGUGGUUACGGCGACAGAUUAGAAUUUGCAUUCAUUCACUGGUAAUCUGUUCCUCUUUGAGGGCGCAGGUUCGAAUCCUGCUGGCGUCG
Rhodocollybia butyracea is the source of this 102-nucleotide non-coding RNA. NCBI's taxonomy places the organism in Eukaryota, Fungi, Basidiomycota, Agaricomycetes, Agaricales, Omphalotaceae. The record is from the annotation of a GenBank genome assembly.